UGGGGGAUAUUGCACAAUGGGGGAAACCCUGAUGCAGCGACGCCGCGUGGAGGAAGAAGGUUUUCGGAUUGUAAACUCCUGUCGUUAGGGACGAUAAUGACGGUACCUAACAAGAAAGCACCGGCUAACUACGUGCCAGCAGCCGCGGUAAAACGUAGGGUGCAAGCGUUGUCCGGAAUUACUGGGUGUAAAGGGAGCGCAGGCGGGAAGACAAGUUGGAAGUGAAAACCAUGGGCUCAACCCAUGAAUUGCUUUCAAAACUGUUUUUCUUGAGUAGUGCAGAGGUAGAUGGAAUUCCCGGUGUAGCGGUGGAAUGCGUAGAUAUCGGGAGGAACACCAGUGGCGAAGGCGGUCUACUGGGCACCAACUGACGCUGAGGCUCGAAAGCAUGGGUAGCAAACAGGAUUAGAUACCCUGGUAGUCCAUGCCGUAAACGAUGAUUACUAGGUGUUGGGGGAUUGACCCCCUCAGUGCCGCAGUUAACACAAUAAGUAAUCCACCUGGGGAGUACGACCGCAAGGUUGAAACUCAAAGGAAUUGACGGGGGCCCGCACAAGCAGUGGAGUAUGUGGUUUAAUUCGACGCAACGCGAAGAACCUUACCAAGUCUUGACAUCCUGCGACGCGCAUAGAAAUAUGUGUUUCCUUCGGGGACACAAAGACAGGUGGUGCAUGGUUGUCGUCAGCUCGUGUCGUGAGAUGUUGGGUUAAGUCCCGCAACGAGCGCAACCCUUAUCAUUAGUUGCUACGCAAGAGCACUCUAAUGAGACUGCCGUUGACAAAACGGAGGAAGGUGGGGAUGACGUCAAAUCAUCAUGCCCUUUAUGACCUGGGCUACACACGUACUACAAUGGCGUUUAACAAAGAGAAGCAAAGCCGCGAGGCAGAGCAAAUCUCCAAAAAACGUCUCAGUUCGGAUUGUAGGCUGCAACUCGCCUACAUGAAGUCGGAAUUGCUAGUAAUCGUAGGUCAGCAUACUACGGUGAAUACGUUCCC
This 995-nucleotide ribosomal RNA is filed under the name uncultured bacterium. RNAcentral describes it as "bacterial SSU rRNA". It matches the Rfam family "Bacterial small subunit ribosomal RNA", at positions 355 to 1375 of the family's 1533-position model. The record is from RNAcentral.